This 309-nucleotide unclassified non-coding RNA is filed under the name Hevea brasiliensis (rubber tree). The record is from RNAcentral. Lineage: Eukaryota; Viridiplantae; Streptophyta; Magnoliopsida; Malpighiales; Euphorbiaceae.
CGGAGACAAAGGGGCAGAUAAAGCUGCGGUUCAAAACAGCAGCAGGGAAAGAUGUGGUGUGCAUUAGGUCUUUUCAGCUAACUCAGAAGGCAACAAAGAUGGAAUACAAGGCCAUUGAGAGCGUUCUACAGACUAUAAAUCCUCACACUGGAGAGAAAGUUUGCCUAAGUUAUAGAUGUGCCGAUAUGGACCGAGAAAUCCCUGCUCUCAUGGGUGUCUCAAAGGCCAUUCUUGAAAAUGUGAUAUUUGUUCACCAAGAUGAGGCAAACUGGCCAUUACAAGAACCGGGUACGCUGAAAAAGAAGUUUG